CCUACGGGAGGCAGCAGUAGGGAAUCUUUCACAAUGGGCGAAAGCCUGAUGGAGCAACGCCGCGUGCAGGAUGAAGGCCUUCGGGUUGUAAACUGCUUUUAUAAGCGAGAAAUAUGAUGGUAACUUAUGAAUAAGGAUCGGCUAACUACGUGCCAGCAGCCGCGGUCAUACGUAGGAGCCGAGCAUUAUCCGGAGUGACUGGGUGUAAAGAGUUGCGUUGGUGGCAUAAUAAGUAGCUAGUGAAAUCUGGUGGCUAAAACAUUCAGACUAUUAGCUAAACUGGUAGGCUCGAGACCGUUAGAGGUAACUGGAAUUGCUGGUGUAGGAGUGAAAUGCGUAGAUAUUAGAAGGAACACCAAUGGCGUAGGCAGGUUACUGGGACGGUUCUGACACUAAGGCACGAAAGCGUAGGGAGCAAACGGGAUUAGAUACCCGGGUAGUC
This 442-nucleotide ribosomal RNA is filed under the name uncultured bacterium. RNAcentral's name for it is "partial 16S ribosomal RNA". It matches the Rfam family "Bacterial small subunit ribosomal RNA", at positions 338 to 795 of the family's 1533-position model. The record is from RNAcentral.